AGUGAACGCUGGCGGUAGGCCUAACACAUGCAAGUCGAACGGCAGCACAGUAAGAGCUUGCUCUUACGGGUGGCGAGUGGCGGACGGGUGAGGAAUACAUCGGAAUCUACUUUUUCGUGGGGGAUAACGUAGGGAAACUUACGCUAAUACCGCAUACGACCUACGGGUGAAAGCAGGGGAUCUUCGGACCUUGCGCGAUUGAAUGAGCCGAUGUCGGAUUAGCUAGUUGGCGGGGUAAAGGCCCACCAAGGCGACGAUCCGUAGCUGGUCUGAGAGGAUGAUCAGCCACACUGGAACUGAGACACGGUCCAGACUCCUACGGGAGGCAGCAGUGGGGAAUAUUGGACAAUGGGCGCAAGCCUGAUCCAGCCAUACCGCGUGGGUGAAGAAGGCCUUCGGGUUGUAAAGCCCUUUUGUUGGGAAAGAAGAGCAGCAGGUUAAUACCCCGCUGUUCUGACGGUACCCAAAGAAUAAGCACCGGCUAACUACGUG
RNAcentral lists this ribosomal RNA (492 nucleotides) under uncultured bacterium. Its description in RNAcentral is "partial 16S ribosomal RNA". It matches the Rfam family "Bacterial small subunit ribosomal RNA", at positions 29 to 507 of the family's 1533-position model. The record is from RNAcentral.